Molecule: long non-coding RNA, 562 nt
Organism: Photinus pyralis (common eastern firefly)
Lineage: Eukaryota; Metazoa; Arthropoda; Insecta; Coleoptera; Lampyridae
Exons: 3
Source: RefSeq, a predicted model, not a curated record
ACCAGUCCAACUGCAGACAACUUUCUUGGCAUAUAAGAGAGAGUAUUUCAUUGUGUAAACAAAACAUAAUUGUGGUUACAAAUACUGUAUAUAUAACGGACGUAAAAUACGUAAAUAUCGUAGUAUUCGUUUAAAAAUCCUCCGGUUAUGUGUGUGCUAAUAUAAUCGUAUCGAGUUCUUAGAAUACGCUCAUCGCUGAUCCCUAAAAACAUUUCAGUGUUUAUAAAUAAUUAAUGACUAUAAAUUAACUCUUGGAUAAUUUUGGUGAUAGCGACCAAUAUGCAGUCGAAUGUGUGCAUCUUAACUGUCACGACAGUCAUCCUACUUUACGUCACAGUUGCCUACGGCUGCUCCUGUGUACCUACUCACCCCCAAGCGCAGUUUUGUAAUUCACAAUUUGAUAUCUAGGUUUGCAUGGCGAACAAAAGAUGCCAGGAUUUUUUUAAAAUUUUAUUAUCUAUACAGAAGAAGGGUCUCUAAGCGCUCGCACAGCAAAAAUCCAAAGUCUGAUAUGCAAAAUUUAUUUUUUCUAUUUCGAUUUUUAAAUGUUCUUAUUAACGCA